Molecule: ribosomal RNA, 278 nt
Filed under: uncultured bacterium
Lineage: Bacteria
Description: partial 16S ribosomal RNA
Rfam family: Bacterial small subunit ribosomal RNA
Source: RNAcentral
GACGAACGCUGGCGGCAUGCCUAACACAUGCAAGUCGAACGAGACCUUCGGGUCUAGUGGCGCACGGGUGCGUAACGCGUGGGAACCUGCCCUUGGGUUCGGAAUAACUCGCCGAAAGGCGUGCUAAUACCGGAUGAUGUCGUAAGACCAAAGAUUUAUCGCCCAGGGAUGAGCCCGCGUAAGAUUAGGUAGUUGGUGAGGUAAAGGCUCACCAAGCCGACGAUUUUUAGCUGGUCUGAGAGGAUGAUCAGCCACACUGGGACUGAGACGCGGUCCAG